UUGAGCUACUCCAAGGGAAGAGGCAUAUUGAUCGUGUAAGCUAUUUUAGCUGAUAUUAUCCUGAUAUUCCUACUCCAAUGAACUGGCUAAAUGGCUUCCUAUUUUACCUCUUCCGUUCUCCGCUGGCUACAAUUGGAGGGUGAUUGAAGGCUCUCCAAACUCUACAGUGAAGUCUCUUCCACGAAAUCGAUCCUCUACAUCAGCGCGAAAUCGAUCUUCGCCUUCAGCGUUGUCUGCAACUCCCUCCAUCUGACCUCUUCCUCAAGGAAGAGAAUUUCAGAUUCAUUAGUUGAAGAGUAUGGAUUCCAUGUACCUUGUGUAUAAUUUUAGCAUAGAUGUUAAAG
Molecule: long non-coding RNA, 344 nt
Organism: Camellia sinensis
Lineage: Eukaryota; Viridiplantae; Streptophyta; Magnoliopsida; Ericales; Theaceae
Source: RefSeq, a predicted model, not a curated record